Molecule: ribosomal RNA, 480 nt
Filed under: uncultured bacterium
Lineage: Bacteria
Description: partial 16S ribosomal RNA
Rfam family: Bacterial small subunit ribosomal RNA
Source: RNAcentral
UGAACGCUAGCGGCAGGCCUAAUACAUGCAAGUCGAACGAGAUUAAGAGGCUUGCUUCUUAUGAAAGUGGCGCACGGGUGCGUAACGCGUAUGCAACCUACCUUAAUCAGGGGGAUAGCCCGAAGAAAUUCGGAUUAAGACCGCAUAAAAACACAGGAUAGCAUUAUCCAAUGUUCAAAUAUUUAUAGGAUUAAGAUGGGCAUGCGUGUCAUUAGCUAGUUGGCGGGGUAACGGCCCACCAAGGCGACGAUGACUAGGGGAUCUGAGAGGAUGACCCCCCACACUGGUACUGAGGCACGGACCAGACUCCUACGGGAGGCAGCAGUAAGGAAUAGUGGUCAAUGGAGGGAACUCUGAACCAGCCAUGCCGCGUGCAGGAAGACAGCCCUCUGGGUCGUAAACUGCUUUUAUUCGGGAAUAAACCUUUCUACGUGUAGGAAGCUGAAUGUACCGAAGGAAUAAGGAUCGGCUAACUCCGUG